UUCCAGCAUAUUGAUAUGCAUGUUUAAAGUCAAAGUAGUGGAAAAUGAUAGGUAGGAUAAACCUUUGUGCAUUAGAGAACCCAUUCACUGCCGCUGAGCAGCUGAUCGAGGUAGAGCAAAUCACUUGAUGAGAUCAAUCCAGGACUUCAUUAAUUAAUCAAUGCUCUAAAACAGCAGCAAAGCAUGCAUGUAAGUUUCAAUCCAGAUGAGCCAGAACUCGUUCUCCAAAUUUCUCGUAGCAGUAUAGUAUCAGGGUGUAUGAGCCGAAAUGCUUAUCACACAACCAAACUUGGUACAACCGCUAGCUAGAUAGUUAAAAGACCGGCAUGAUUGACUCUAGAGAUAUCCAUGGAAUAUACCGUGAGUCAUUAAGGGGAAAAAAGAUCAGAAAAUUCAAGACUUUGUCAUGAGAAAAUUAAGGAAACUUGGAGGAGAAUUCACCUCUAGAUGAAUGGCCAAGAUCGCAUCACAAGAGAGGAGGAUUCCUUUAUAAAUAGCAGCCAUUCUUUAAGCCAAGACCAUCACUUCUUGACGCAAAAUUCAAUUCAUUAGACAAACUCUCUUCUCUCCAAAACCCUCUCUAAAAAUUCAGAAAAAGCCUAUUGCCAUGAAGAGCUUUAGGACUUCUCCAAGGUUGUUCGUGUUCUUGAAGGCCUAGUUGUGUGUUCUCUUGAUGUUCUCCAAGCUGCUUCCUUGAAGAUCAAAAAGUGAGUACCCUCAAUCCCCGAUUAGAACGAUUCCUACUUGCUUAUAUACUAACGAAUGACAACAGGGUUUUAAAUUGUGUGCUACUUUUAGCAUAUCAAUAGCCAAUUGCAUUACUGUUUGCUCCACUCAAACUAAGCUAGAUAUUUUGUAUCUAAAGUACUUUUAAUCUACUUUAAUAUGCUUUCAUUCUAGAUAUUUUGUAGGUUAAUCUUGUAUCCUAUAUAAGGGAAGUGAUAGUUGAUGUAAAAGUAGAUCAGAGAAAAGAACAAUUCAAAAACUUAAAGCACAAUGUUUGCUAAUUUUUUU
Long non-coding RNA from Rosa rugosa (rugosa rose), 1014 nucleotides. RefSeq lists it as uncharacterized. The transcript is spliced from 2 exons. The record is from RefSeq and is a predicted model, not a curated record. Lineage: Eukaryota; Viridiplantae; Streptophyta; Magnoliopsida; Rosales; Rosaceae.